Molecule: ribosomal RNA, 301 nt
Filed under: uncultured bacterium
Lineage: Bacteria
Description: partial 16S ribosomal RNA
Rfam family: Bacterial small subunit ribosomal RNA
Source: RNAcentral
CAGCCGCCACGGUAACACGUAGGGCGCAAGCGUUGUCCGGAAUUAUUGGGCGUAAAGAGCUCGUAGGCGGUCUGUCGCGUCUGGUGUGAAAUCCCGAGGCUCAACCUCGGGCUUGCAUCGGGUACGGGCAGACUAGAGUGCGGUAGGGGAGACUGGAAUUCCUGGUGUAGCGGUGGAAUGCGCAGAUAUCAGGAGGAACACCGAUGGCGAAGGCAGGUCUCUGGGCCGCAACUGACGCUGAGGAGCGAAAGCAUGGGGAGCGAACAGGAUUAGAUACCCCGGUAGUCCCUGUCUCUUAUAC